AUACGUAGGGGGCGAGCGUUGUCCGGAAUGAUUGGGCGUAAAGGGCGCGUAGGCGGCCCGGUAAGUCUGGAGUGAAAGUCCUGCUUUUAAGGUGGGAAUUGCUUUGGAUACUGUCGGGCUUGAGUGCAGGAGAGGUAAGUGGAAUUCCCAGUGUAGCGGUGAAAUGCGUAGAGAUUGGGAGGAACACCAGUGGCGAAGGCGGUUUGCUGGCUGCAUACUGACGCUGAAGCGCGAAAGCCAGGGGAGCAAACGGGAUUAGAUACCCCGGUAGUCCUGGCAGUAAACGAUGUAUGCUGGGUGUGAGACUAGCGAUAGUUUCGUGCCGAAGUUAACGCGAUAAGCAUACCGCCUGGGGAGUACGGUCGCAAGAUUGAAACUCAAAUGAAUUGGCGGGG
This 395-nucleotide ribosomal RNA is filed under the name uncultured bacterium. Its description in RNAcentral is "partial 16S ribosomal RNA". It matches the Rfam family "Bacterial small subunit ribosomal RNA", at positions 523 to 918 of the family's 1533-position model. The record is from RNAcentral.